UAUAAACAAUGGCGGAUAGGGCUCUAUGAAUAAACCGUAGGUUCUGCUUAGAACACAGGUGUGUGUGUGUGUGUGUGUGUGUGUGUGUAUAGGUGUAUAACAGCUCGUGCGAUCAGAAUAUGCUCGUUUCAUUACCGCUUUUCACCAUCCUGUUAUAAACACUCGGAUCUGUGUGUCAAUCCGCCGCUGCUGUAACAGAACAUUAUAAACCCAGAGAAACAGGGCGUUGAGGAUCACCGCGGAUGUGUGAUGAGAGCCGCAGGGGUCUAUAUUUCUCUGAUCGGAUGCAGCGGCGGCGGAAGGACCGAGUCGCUGUUCGGCUCUUAAAGGGCCAGUAUGGAAUAAUUCCAUUUCAGUUCAGCUGAUCUGUCUAUGUCUAAAGACAACUACUUACACCCUGGAUCAGGGAUAUGAGAAGGUGGAACUUUAAGCAGUAACCAUUGUGACGUCACACACCAAUUAAUGGUAAGUUGUUUUUCUAUCAACAUAAAAUUUGUGCUUUUUACAAUAUUUUACUGUAUUCAACAGCAAGAUUGAAUUUUAUAUCAGAAAGUGUCGAUUAAUUUUCAAAUAAUAGAAUUAUGAUAAUGCACUUGUAUUAAUACGUUCCUAUGGUAACAGCAUGUUCACUAGGGGUGUAACGAUACACUCACCUCACGAUUCGAUACGUAUCUCGAUACAGGGUUCACGAUACGAUAUGUAUCACGAUAUUUUGAACAAAAUGAAAAAAAUUAAACAAAUUCAAAUAACAGCUUUAUUUCUUAAACAUUAACAAUUUUCAUGAACUUUCUUUGUUGUACAUAUAACUUAAAAUCUGACAACACUGAGGUUUACUUCAACCUUCUCUAUGUCAGUUUCAAUUAACAAUCGAAUAGGCCUGUCACUGGAAAAAAAUUUAAUUUAACAUAAAAUUAGAAUUAAGUUUGCUGAAUCCUAAGACAGAAUGUUUUAGCGCAGUAAAGUGCAGUAAAACACUAUAAAAUAAAAUAAAUGGUGUUCUGUUCAAGUAAGUUUACAUUAAAAAUAAGAUCGCUGAAACCUAAGCCGAAAACCUGAACUGAACCUCAUAAAGCAGUAAAAAGUGCAAAAAGCAAAACUGUAAAAUAAAACAAAUGGUGUUGUGUUCAAGUGAGUUCAACUGUACUCCAUGGUGUUUUUUAGGUUACUCACAGGUUUUUUUUGCAAAAAACCCCCAGCAUAUCUACAUGUUUAGGUGAAAGCUGAGAUCUUUUUUUGAGAGCAUUUACAAUAUCUCCUGCUGUAGAAAAAACACGUUCACUGGGAACUGAUGUUGCUGGAAUUGUUAGGUAAGCCUUGGCAAGUGAGGAAAGAAGUGGGUACAUUUGAGCAUUUUCUUUCCAGUAUUUCAGUGGUUAGGGGAAUAGAAGUGUCCUUCUUGUACAUGUCAAUCUCUACUUCUAUCCUGCUGUUGGACUGGGCAGCUGCUGUUUUAGCAAAAGUUGCACCAAGGAGAUCUUCCAGUGCUGUCUUUGUGCUUGGUGGCUGUUCUUGCUCAACUCUGUGCAUUGCAUCUGCUGCAUCAGUGGGAUCUCCAUCAGUGGCACCUUUUGUCUCCAUCGGUUCUGUUUGCUCCACAGUACCAGCCUUAAAACAAUUUAAAUAUAUUAAAGAAGUAUAGUACACUUUUGGUUACACACACACACACACACACACACACACACACUCACACACACACACACACAAGGUCAGCACAGAUUACAAUUCAGUGACAAACAAACAUGUAAACGCUCAGAUUCUUGCACACAAAUGCAGACAUGCCUGCUGUAACUCUUUUGAUUUGUUCUUCAACCAGUAAAAAACCUCUUCACGUUGUUCAGGGAGGAGGUGGGGCAACGAUCGAAAUCUGGGGUCCAGGGCUGUGAGAUAAUCAUCUACCUCUGUGUAUCUGCUUGAGAGGUUUUGCAGGAUUGCUGUUUUCAUGUCAGAUACAGUUGUGGAGUCUUUUUCAUCCAGCAUCAUGCUCUGCUCGAUCAUGGAUUUCAAGGGUAUUAUGAGUGAAAGUGUGGCACUCUUUUCAUCAGACAGGACAGUGGUGGCUUUUUUGAGAGGUUGAAGAAGGUUUAGUAUUUCUUCGGCAUCACUGAUGUCAGCGCUACCCAUAGUAUCAAGUUGACGGGCAUUUUUGCGCACCUCUGGGCUCAAGAGUGCUGCCGUAAUAGCCGCGUGUUGCUCGAGAUAGCGUUCCAGCAUAUCCAUUGAGCUAUUCCAUCUUGUCACCACAUCCAUGAUAAGCUUAUGUGAUGCGAUCUCAAGCAAGUUUUGCUUUGCUGUGAGCACAGCUGUUGCUGUGGCACUGCAGUGAAAGAAAGCCACGACUUUUCUCACUCGACCAAGCAAGCGACUGACGCGGCGGGGAAUUCAGUCCUGCUUGCGACGCGAGAUUAAGUGUGUGAGCGAAACACUUAAUAUGCAGUGACAACCCGGCUUCUCUCACUGCCACAUCCAUGUUAUGAGCAUUGUCGGUUACGACAGCAAUGUUAUGAUGAGCCCUCUCAAGUUCCCACUCUUGUAUAGCCGCUUUUAAAACUUCGGCUAUGUUUGUUCCAGUGUGUGAAUCAAAAAGUGGACGAGUCUGAAGCACAAAACUUUUCAUUUCCCACUCUGUGGUGAUAACGCGCUGUAACUGUAAUAUAGCUUUGAUCGGCCCUCGACGUCCACCCGUCAGUCGUUAUUGCCACAUUCUCUGCCUUUUUCAGACAAUCAAGCAUAUUUGCUUUUGCUUCAGAGUACAGGGCUGGAAUUACAUUUUGGCUGAAGUGUGGGCGUGACGGAAUAUGGUACCUGGGCUCAAGUGCUCUAACCAGUUUGCGAAAUCCAACAUUGUCGACCACAGAAAACGGUCUCAUGUCUUUUGCGAUAAAAACUCUGAUUCUCCUAGUUAUGUCUUGAGCCCUUGCACUUGACUGAGCCCACGAUGCCGCAAAACUAUGCUGGAUUGACGUUUGGCCGUCUUUCACUCUCUUUUUCGCACCCAUUUGGAGGACUUUGUCGCUGUGGUGCCAUUUUAAAUGACACAUCAUAUUCGUAGUGUUCGAAGUUGUGUAUAUCAGCCUUUUUUUUACAGUGUUUACACACAGUUUGUGUUUUGUCUACAAUUUUUUUUACCAUCCUCUUCCUGUCGAGUGACCGGAAAACCAGAAUGCUGCCAGACGUCAGACUUGUAAGAGCAUGGAGCAUCCUCUAUUUCGAUGUCAGUUCCAGUUGAACACAUGUUGCUAACGUUCAGUUCUAGAGAUUUCUGUAACUCCGGUGAAUGUACACGUAACGCUAUUGCAGAGUGGGUCAGUUUUUGGCAGCUCAUCCUAUGGGAUUAAACGAUUGUCAUAUCGUAGAAAUAUCGCCAUCUAUCUAUGAUGCGUAUUGUGGCAUUUUUGCUUCGCGAAAUAUAUCGUACUACGAUAUAUCGUUACACCCCUAAUGUUCACACAAUCUAAACCUAAUAAAAAGGUUUGUGUUUAACAAAAGAAAUGCUUGUUGAUAAUUGUUGAUAUGGUACAAAAUUUCUGUUAAAAGAUUUUAUAAUAAUUUGAUGCCUAGAUGAUACACCAAGUCACCAUAAACUGGGUUUUCGGUCUCUGCUGGUUGGCCCUGUGUAACUGCUAUGAGUCAAUUACUCCACUAGAGGGCACUGUGGAUUUCAUUGAUGGGUACACAUGGUUGUUAGGUGCUACAUGUCUGAGAUCUGGAUAAAGCUGAGUACAUGUCUUUUAGUUAUUUUAGUUUCUUACAAACAGAACUAAGGCUUUAAUAGUCACUUGUGUCAAAUGUAUAAUUGUGUGAUACCAUGACAUCACCGGUGUCUCUGCACCGAAGAGCGUGAUUAUAAAUAAUGUCCUUUCUGCAGUCAUGUACAGUCAGUUGGAGUUGUGUGAUGCAGAUAUGUAGUGUAUAUGUAGUGUGUAUUAAUUAGGAGGUUGUUGUCAUCCUUAAAGUACUCAUAGUGUUGGCAUUGCUGCUUUAAAUACCCAAAUCCUCACAAAGCAGAAUCCAACUGGAGCCGGUCCAUCUCUGGAUGCAGUACAAGGUUAUGGGAUGUAUUAUGUGUAUGCCUGGUUAAAGAGAGUCUUUAAUCUAUGUUUAAACUGGGAGACUGUGUCUGAGUCCCGAACACUGUCCGGAAGGCUAUUCCAAAGUUUAGGAGCUAAAUACGAAAACGCUCUACCCCCUUUUGUCUGGAGUUUUGUGAUCUGGGAGCAGAAAGGAUGUAGCAUGUUAGAAGACUGGUUAGAUACGUGGGAGCUAAACCAUUUAGUGCCUUGUACAUAAGUAGUAAUGAGCAGAUUGUAUUGUGAUAUCCUGACACUAUUAAACUAUAAAACUUUAACAAUUGGUUUUUAUUGAUUUUUAUGUUAAAGCAUCUUGGGAAUGCAUAGAUGUAAUGGCACCAUAUACAUUAAGGAGGAGUUAGUGUUUGUCUAUGGUAGCUGACAUGCUGCAGUGACUGUAUUACUGGAAUAUUAGUGCACAUACUAACACUUUAGUUUAGCUUGGCCAUUAUACACAUAACUAUACUAGAAGACUGAUACAUGUGGCCCAUUGUCUUAUGCCUGUACUGUACUGGUACACAUAUUGUUUGAGUGUGAUACUUCAGUAUGUCCACUAGAUGUCCCUGUUUUUGUUCCAUAUAGCUGUUGGACAACGAAACUGGAAAACCUGGUUUUAGACCACAAUAAUUUAUUAUUAUAGUGUAGGGUCUAUCUCUGAAGUCAAUGACAGAUACAUGUCCUGCACAGUGCACAGAGGGAUUUUGAGCCAUUCUUCUAAUAUUUUCUGACGCUCUCCUCUAAAACUCCCCAAAGUGGAUCAAUAACAUUUAGAUCUGGUGACUGUGAAGGCCAUUAGUGAUGUUCAGCUUUACUUUCAUAUUCAUCAAGCCACUCUGUCACCAGUCUUGCUUUCUGUAUUAGUGCAUUAUUAUCCUGAUACACGUCACCACCUUCAGGGUGAAAUGUUUGAACCACUGGGUGCUCCAGGUCCUCCAGAAUGGUUCGGUAGUCCUUGGCAGUGACACACCAAUCUAGCACAAGGAGUAGGGAACUGCAUGAUACAGGACUUUGAUACUGCAGCCCAAAGCAUCACUGAUCCACUUCUGUGCUUCACUCUGGGCAUGCAGUCCAGUUGGUGAGCUUAUUUCUCCUCACAGUAUCUUUCCUGGUGCUAUUGUUCUUUUUAUUUAACUUCACACUUUGCUCUUUUUAAAAUUACACACAGUGUUUUGUUUUAUUCCUCAGAUUUUAUUUUGGUGCCACAAUGACACAUUUUUCAAAAUCCACUUUGGUCUCAGGUUGCAUCACACCGCCCCAGAAUAUUUACAUAUAUAUAUAUACACUGUGUAUAUGUUGACUUAAAGGAU
Molecule: long non-coding RNA, 5374 nt
Organism: Hemibagrus wyckioides
Lineage: Eukaryota; Metazoa; Chordata; Actinopteri; Siluriformes; Bagridae
Exons: 4
Source: RefSeq, a predicted model, not a curated record